AGCGAACGCUGGCGGCAUGCCUAACACAUGCAAGUCGAACGAGACCUUCGGGUCUAGUGGCGCACGGGUGCGUAACGCGUGGGAACCUGCCCUUAGGUUCGGAAUAACUCCCCGAAAGGGGUGCUAAUACCGGAUAAUGUCUUCGGACCAAAGAUUUAUCGCCUUUGGAUGGGCCCGCGUUGGAUUAGCUAGUUGGUAGGGUAAAAGCCUACCAAGGCGACGAUCCAUAGCUGGUCUGAGAGGAUGAUCAGCCACACUGGGACUGAGACACGGCCCAGACUCCUACGGGAGGCAGCAGUGGGGAAUAUUGGACAAUGGGCGAAAGCCUGAUCCAGCAAUGCCGCGUGAGUGAUGAAGGCCUUAGGGUUGUAAAGCUCUUUUACCCGGGAUGAUAAUGACAGUACCGGGAGAAUAAGCUCCGGCUAACCCCGUG
This 433-nucleotide ribosomal RNA is filed under the name uncultured bacterium. Its description in RNAcentral is "partial 16S ribosomal RNA". It matches the Rfam family "Bacterial small subunit ribosomal RNA", at positions 29 to 507 of the family's 1533-position model. The record is from RNAcentral.